This 1346-nucleotide ribosomal RNA is filed under the name uncultured bacterium. Its description in RNAcentral is "partial 16S ribosomal RNA". It matches the Rfam family "Bacterial small subunit ribosomal RNA", at positions 28 to 1381 of the family's 1533-position model. The record is from RNAcentral.
GACGAACGCUGGCGGCGUGCUUAACACAUGCAAGUCGAACGGAAAGGCCCUGCUUUUGUGGGGUGCUCGAGUGGCGAACGGGUGAGUAACACGUGAGUAGCCUGCCCUUGACUUUGGGAUAACUUCAGGAAACUGGGGCUAAUACCGGAUAGGAGCUCCUGCUGCAUGGUGGGGGUUGGAGAGUUUCGGCGGUUGGGGAUGGACUCGCGGCUUAUCAGCUUGUUGGUGGGGUAGUGGCUUACCAAGGCUUUGACGGGUAGCCGGCCUGAGAGGGUGACCGGCCACAUUGGGACUGAGAUACGGCCCAGACUCCUACGGGAGGCAGCAGUGGGGAAUAUUGCACAAUGGGCGGAAGCCUGAUGCAGCAACGCCGCGUGCGGGAUGACGGCCUUCGGGUUGUAAACCGCUUUCGCCUGUGACGAAGCGUGAGUGACGGUAAUGGGUAAAGAAGCACCGGCUAACUACGUGCCAGCAGCCGCGGUGAUACGUAGGGUGCGAGCGUUGUCCGGAUUUAUUGGGCGUAAAGGGCUCGUAGGUGGUUGAUCGCGUCGGAAGUGUAAUCUUGGGGCUUAACCCUGAGCGUGCUUUCGAUACGGGUUGACUUGAGGAAGGUAGGGGAGAAUGGAAUUCCUGGUGGAGCGGUGGAAUGCGCAGAUAUCAGGAGGAACACCAGUGGCGAAGGCGGUUCUCUGGGCCUUUCCUGACGCUGAGGAGCGAAAGCGUGGGGAGCGAACAGGCUUAGAUACCCUGGUAGUCCACGCUGUAAACGGUGGGUACUAGGUGUGGGGUCCAUUCCACGGGUUCCGUGCCGUAGCUAACGCUUUAAGUACCCCGCCUGGGGAGUACGGCCGCAAGGCUAAAACUCAAAGGAAUUGACGGGGCCCCGCACAAGCGGCGGAGCAUGCGGAUUAAUUCGAUGCAACGCGUAGAACCUUACCUGGGUUUGACAUGGAUCGGGAGUGCUCAGAGAUGGGUGUGCCUCUUUUGGGGUCGGUUCACAGGUGGUGCAUGGCUGUCGUCAGCUCGUGUCGUGAGAUGUUGGGUUAAGUCCCGCAACGAGCGCAACCCUUGUUCACUGUUGCCAGCACGUUAUGGUGGGGACUCAGUGGAGACCGCCGGGGUCAACUCGGAGGAAGGUGGGGAUGACGUCAAGUCAUCAUGCCCCUUAUGUCCAGGGCUUCACGCAUGCUACAAUGGCUGGUACAGAGAGUGGCGAGCCUGUGAGGGUGAGCGAAUCUCGGAAAGCCGGUCUCAGUUCGGAUUGGGGUCUGCAACUCGACCUCAUGAAGUCGGAGUCGCUAGUAAUCGCAGAUCAGCAACGCUGCGGUGAAUACGUUCCCGGGGCU